RNAcentral lists this ribosomal RNA (264 nucleotides) under uncultured Clostridia bacterium. RNAcentral's name for it is "partial 16S ribosomal RNA". It matches the Rfam family "Bacterial small subunit ribosomal RNA", at positions 78 to 339 of the family's 1533-position model. RNAcentral also lists the same sequence under 1 other name. Lineage: Bacteria; Bacillati; Bacillota; Clostridia. The record is from RNAcentral.
CAAUAUCCUGGCGGCGACCGGCGGACGGGUGAGUAACGCGUGAGCAACCUGCCUUUCACAGGGGGAUAACGCAUCGAAAGGUGCACUAAUACCGCAUGAGACCACGCUCCCGACAUGAGAGAGGGGUCAAAGGAGCAAUCCGGUGAGAGAUGGGCUCGCGUCUGAUUAGCUAGUUGGUGAGGUAACGGCCCACCAAGGCGACGAUCAGUAGCCGACCUGAGAGGGUGAUCGGCCACAUUGGGACUGAGACACGGCCCAAACUCC